GACGAACGCCGGCGGCGUGCCUAAUACAUGCAAGUCGAGCGCAGGAAACUGACGGAACUCUUCGGAGGGAAGGCAGUGGAAUGAGCGGCGGACGGGUGAGUAACACGUAAGGAACCUGCCUCAAGGAUUGGGAUAACUCCGAGAAAUCGGAGCUAAUACCGGAUAGUUCAACGGACCGCAUGGGCCGCUGAUGAAAGGCGCUUCGGCGUCACCUUGAGAUGGCCUUGCGGUGCAUUAGCUAGUUGGUGGGGUAACGGCCCACCAAGGCGACGAUGCAUAGCCGACCUGAGAGGGUGAUCGGCCACACUGGGACUGAGACACGGCCCAGACUCCUACGGGAGGCAGCAGUAGGGAAUCUUCCACAAUGGACGAAAGUCUGAUGGAGCAACGCCGCGCGAGUGAUGAAGGUUUUCGGAUCGUAAAACUCUGUUGUAAGGGAAGAACACGUACGAGAGGAAAUGCUCGUACCCUGACGGUACCUUACGAGAAAGCCACGGCUAACUACGUGCCAGCAGCCGCGGUAA
RNAcentral lists this ribosomal RNA (524 nucleotides) under uncultured bacterium. RNAcentral describes it as "partial 16S ribosomal RNA". It matches the Rfam family "Bacterial small subunit ribosomal RNA", at positions 28 to 523 of the family's 1533-position model. The record is from RNAcentral.